This is a long non-coding RNA of Mus musculus (house mouse), 3987 nucleotides long. RefSeq annotates it as predicted gene, 32551. The record is from RefSeq and is a predicted model, not a curated record. NCBI's taxonomy places the organism in Eukaryota, Metazoa, Chordata, Mammalia, Rodentia, Muridae. The transcript is spliced from 2 exons.
CAUACCUGGGAGGUGGGCAAGAGGCAGGCAGGUCAGAGCGGGUCUGCAGCUCAGGCGCUGCGCGGGGGCUCUGCUCCACAGAGCUUAAGAGAAAGUACUUUCUACCCCACCCCCAAUGGACUGCCUAGCCACACACAGGUUUUCUGGUUGCACAGUUAUGAGCAGCCCCGAUGCAGGAACACAAUGGCAGUGCCCCGAGGUCCUGAAAUUCACCAAUCACAAACCAGCGGAGACCACACUGUGCUGGGAGCUACUUAGAGAAAACUGACUAAAGGAAUGAACACCUGUGUGGCCCUGAUGGACUCUGCUCAGCCAUACAGACGCAGUUCAGAUGGGAUCACUGGACUGUCAUGAUCUGAAUUUUGAUCACUUGAGUAGUAUUCACAAGAAAUCACCCUUUUGUUCUAUUACACUUAUUUAUUGAGUGUGUGUGCACCCAUACAAAGCAUGGCUUGGGCAUGAAGGUCAAAGGACAACUUGCAGACGUCCAUUCUUUCCUUCCAGUCCUGGGGAUUGAACUCAGGGAGUCAGACUUGCUGGUAGGCACCUUUAGACCCACUGAGCCAGGUUGCCAGCCUUACCCAUUUAUUUUACUAACAUCCAUAUCAUUAGGAAAAGCCUUCCUCCAGGAUAGCUGGUGAGAGCGAACACUGUGGGUGUUUUGACCUGGGCAAACAGAGCUGAGAUUUGGAAGCUGGGUCUAGGAGGCUCAGCAAAGAUCUCAAGCUGGAGUUUGGGGGUUCUACAUCAAGACACACAAAAGCCAAGCCGUGAGGCGGAGACAAGCCUGUCAGGAUGAGGAAACUCCAUCUGUGGCAAGGAGACAUUGGGGUCUGUUAGGGACAGCCCACGGUGACAACGAUGAGUACAGCAACAAAGAUGACUGGAAGGCAGAAUAAUGGCCACGAGGAGAGUUUUCUACAGUGAGUCUCCCUCAGCACCUAUUCUCAUUGCUCUUCAUAAAGCAGCUUCUAAGUGGCCUAGGAGCCAGAGAGAGGCAGGCAACUAUCUUUGGACAGACUUCAAACUGCCUGACAUCUUUCUGCAUCUUCAGGUAGGUCCCACGGGGCAGGAGUAUUGCUCAGUGGUGAGCGCUUGGCCAGCACGGACCCUGUGUUCUACCACACCACCACAGAAGCAGGUUUGGGAUUCUGAUAGCAACAUCCCAUUGAAGUAUGAACCCCGCCACCACCACCCCCCAGUCACCCCUAACAAGCAUUCCCUCCCUGCUUCCUCACAGACCCAGCCAGAAGAAAGAAUCCUGUUGCUCCUCUGAGCACCGUGGGUGCCACCUGGGUGUCUCUGUUAAAGACAAUCCAGACUAAGAACGUGCUACAAAAACCCCACGGGAUGUUUUAUUUAUAACUCUUUAAAGGGGGUAUCCUUAAAGAGAUCACCCUUCACCACAGCAGUCACUGGGUCUGUAAGAGUCAGCCCUGUUACUGCUGACUUCAAACCACACCAGCGACUCCUGAGCUCUGAAAGAGCUCCUGGAAGGACGUGCCAGCAUUAUGGCUCCAGCUCCUAAUGAGCUCAAAUAAGCCACACACGUUUCAAAUUCAUGGGUGUCUCCAGCCAAAUCUUCUGGCAGUGAGUUUUUCAAAGAUCUUUGAAAUUUAGUGGUCACUCAGAGGAGCCUUCCUGGAGAGGCAGAGAGAUGCCAGCCAGUUUGGAGUUCUGCAGAGAGGGGAAGUGCUCAGCCUGCCUCUCUCUUCCCAGCUUCACUCCUUUAAGGGGCCAGGCAGCCAGAGCCGCACUGAAGCAAGUCCCUAUAUCCUCAGCACACUGAGAGUUGGGCUUAGCUAUGUAUCUUGAACUAGUCAGUGAAAUACUGGGUUGAAGCGAUGAGAUACAUAGAAUUUACCUCAAUUUGAUCAAAGCCUGGCACAGGUUGAGUCUGAAGAAGCAGAAGUAAAAUAAAUACCACAGUGAGCCAAGGACGCUUGGGACUGUUUGUUACAAAGCAUCACCAUAGCUAAAGCUGACUGCUACAACAUCACACAUAUUUGUUCCUCCCUUCACUAGGAUGCCCUUGGGAGCUCAAGGAGGCAUGAAAGGGCAGGCAGGGAAGAGGCCUUUGGUGGUGAUGGGGCAAUCAGCUUCAGGAUCGCCCACAUUUCUGGAAUACAGGAAAUGGACCCACAGAAGGCCAGGGUGGAAGAUAAGGACCUCAGAGUCACCCAACAACUCUUAGGACAGAGCCCAGUCCCUGAGGUGGCAAACUGCAGCAGGAUCACUCAGAGUUGCAGUGAGCAACUGUGCUCCCUGGAGGUGUCUGGGGGCUCAGGCUUCAUGUGCGGAAAGCGUCCCACCCAGCACAGACUGGCCCUUCUUCCAAGCUCACGCCAGCCACUGCUCUGCCCUCCUCCAUGCCACAGUUUUGACGACUGAGUCACACAAAGUUCUACUUUGUGUUGGAAGCCCAAGCCACACAUUCCUCGGUGGUGAAUAUCAGACAUACUUCUCUUUUAGCCAGCUCAUAGUCCUACGGUAGAAGCCAUCUGGUAGGGAGGGGUGUGUCACAGAAGCAUAAGGUGGUUCUAACUCCCUGUCCCCUUAUCAAAUGACAUUACAUGGAGCCAUAGAGCUAAAACCAUUAACAGAGGACUCGUCUCCUCCCCUCAAGGGCACAAGCUAUAUUUCUUUGACUCCACUUCUACUGUUCAUUUUAAUCAUGGCCACAUCAAAUUUUGUAACUUGCAGUUGUUCUCAUAUGCAACCAUCCAGCAUGUCACCCCACCUCCAUCCCCAAUACCUGUCAAUACCUGUCAUUUAGACUGUCCAGAAAGAGCAAUGACUCGUGUACCUGGGGGGUGGGGGGUGUUCUAAGAACCGUGACUGCUGUACUUGACUCAGUUUACUAUGGGACUUACCAGGAGGAAGAAUUCACAAAAGCCUUGCAACUUGGACAGGCUGUGGGCUCUGUCAUCCCAGCAAGUGUUUAUAUGGAUACAGUGUAUCCAUGAGACUGUAUCAUAUUGUAACACCGCAUAGAUACAAUGUCCUGGUAUCAGAGCCGGCUUUAAGUUACAAUGUGUCAUCAGCUGACAUUCAUCUGGCUGGAUGCCCAGACCUGCUAGCUUCCAAGGACUAGAACUCUUGAGCGCAAUGCUAGAAAUGUGACAAAUGCACCCACAUCCAUUCCCUGGUAGUCUGGGCUUUUAAAUGUUCUUCCCCACUCCGCUUUGGGUUUUUUGGGUUUUGUUGGUUGAGGAUGUGUCAACAUGCACAAAGGGGCACCCAUCAAAUCAGGAUGAUGGCUUCUUCUUUACUCUCUUUAUUUUUGGAGCCUCAGACUUCUGUCUUGCAGAUCUUCCUAAGAUAAACAAUAGACUAUUGUGAAGUAUAGGUCCCUAAAACAGAACUUGCUCCUCCAGCUGUAUACAUUGGCUUCUGCUGUCGAAUCCCCCUUCACCCAGCCCUCCCACCUCCCAGCCCCUAGUAUUGACUACGAAGUCACUUUUUUAAAGCAUCCACAUAUUAAAGAGAACACACGACAUACUCUGGUUUUGUUUGUUUGCUAAUUAGAAUAUGCUUCUCUUGCCCUGCCUAGCUCUUGUUUUGAAUAUGUGGGGUUUUAUCAGGUAUUUUAAUGCCAUCCCUUAAAAAAAUUAUGAGGGGAGGGGCAUAUGCACAUCAUAGCAUAAACGCACACGAAUGGAAGGCAGAGGAAAGCUACAUGUAGUUGGUUCUCAGGGAUAAAACUCGGGUCUCCAGGCUUGCCUGCAAGCACACUGUCUGCUAGACUGUCUUACCAGGUUAAGUCUCAUCAUACAGGGACUGUGAAUGUUUACGUACCGAAUGUACUAAUGUUGUUGAUUUGCUUGUACACAGAAAACAAGUAUCAAAACAUCACAUCACACCUCAUAAAUACAUACAAUUACCAUGUCAAUUAAAUGAUUAAAAUAAAAUAAAAUGGCUCAUCAGAUCUGAAAAACCCCCCUUUAAAGAGGCAGGAAGCAGACUGAUAGACCAGCCGUGUUGACA